This 388-nucleotide long non-coding RNA is filed under the name Melopsittacus undulatus (budgerigar). RNAcentral's name for it is "lncRNA (ENSMUNG00000014000.2)". Lineage: Eukaryota; Metazoa; Chordata; Aves; Psittaciformes; Psittaculidae. The record is from RNAcentral.
GCAUGGUGGAGGCACUGGUGGUGUCAUGGCGGUGGUCUGGUGCGAAGUGUCGCAGCCCUCAGGGCCUGGGGCUGGAGGUUUCCCCGUCACAGGCCUUGGAGCGUGUCUCAGUGUUUAUAAUCCGCGUGUGCGACCGUGUUGGUGAGAACAAAGAAAAUGGGAAGAAAAAGCCAUGUGCGCUGAAGCUUGCUCGGUGUCGUCCCGGCUGAUCGGCUCCUGGAGGAGAGUAGUGUCUGAGCUGCAUGGAGGAAAUAAACGUUUUUGGCCUGGUCCUGAGGAGAAUGCAAUGCUCACACCAGAACAGCUGCUGCAGGAGCACCAUCUCAGAGGGCAUCACAGAGACCAUCACAGCUACAAGCAUCUGAAAGAUACGAGCAGAGACAUGUAG